UGCGAAAUAAACUAAAAAAGUUAUUGGGUUCAUGUCCCAAAUAUAUCUAAGGAAGGUUUUCGUCA
RNAcentral lists this transfer RNA (65 nucleotides) under Limnoperna fortunei. RNAcentral describes it as "tRNA-Met". Lineage: Eukaryota; Metazoa; Mollusca; Bivalvia; Mytilida; Modiolidae. The record is from RNAcentral.